CCAAAUGGGUAUAGGAAAGAGAUG
RNAcentral lists this non-coding RNA (24 nucleotides) under Cricetulus griseus (Chinese hamster). Lineage: Eukaryota; Metazoa; Chordata; Mammalia; Rodentia; Cricetidae. The record is from RNAcentral.